CAGCUCCCACGCUGCCCUUCAGGGCCACUCGGCGAUGGGCUGAGAGUUAGGCCUUGCUCUGGAGCAGAGAUGCAAGGGAGAAAGGAUCCAGGUGAAACAAACCCUAGGAUGGGGUCUGCUGGAGUGGAGGUGAUGGCUGCAGGGCAGUUAAGAGGGAACGGACCAGAGAAGUCGAGGUAAAGUUGCCUCCCAGGCAGGACCUGGUGAGUUGGGUCCACCUCACUCCAAGAUGAAGCCAGGUGAAGAUACAGUAAGAAGAUGGCCAUCUACAGACAGGAAGCAACAGAGCACCCACUGGCACCUUGAUCCGAGACGCCCCACCCUCCAGGACUGAGGAAGACAGCAUAUGCUCCUGAACUUAGUCCUCGAAACAACUCUAUUUCACAGAUGGGAACGUUAAGACACGCAGAUCGUCCUAAGUAGCUGAGUAGGGGAGCUGGGACUCAGCUCUAGUCAGUUCAGUUCCAGGGCCUGCACAUUUAACCUCCAUACUGAGAAGAGAAGGACCCGCCCGAGUCCUGUCUCCAAGGACCUCUGGCUGCAGUGGCGACAGCGAGGAGUCUGCCAGCAGGGUAAGGGGUAGGAAAAGUGCCCACAUCAGGCAUCUGUGAGCCCUCACUGCUGCCUGCUGUCUGUACAGCAUUGCAUUUAUAGAACGAUGGCAGCUCUGAGAUGGUUCUCAGCUAGAAGAAUCAGGAAGGGCUCCUUGGAGGAGGUGGUGUUCCAGUGGGGCCUUGACAGAUAGGUAGGAUUUGGCUUAGAGAGACAAAGGUGAGGGAACAGUGGGGCCACAAGCUCAGAGGGCCGGAGCACCCAGAGCACAAGGGAGAAGAAACACAGAGGCAAAACUGGGAGUGGGUGUUGGGGCCGUGGCAUGGGGGGCCUUGAGUGUCAGACUAAGUGUCGCUUUCACUACUAGUAUUUUCUAGAGGAUGCUGAUGAUAAGUCACCUGGAUGCUUGUUAAAAAUAUGGAGCAGCAGGCAUGUCUCUUAGAGAUUCUGAUUCAUGAGGGCGGGGGUGGGGAGUGGGAGUCUGCAUUUUUACCAAACAAGUUUGAGAAAUAUUGCUAUAAACAAUAUGAAGCCAUUUAAAGUUUCUGAGCAGGGAAUUGGUCUCAUGUGCCCUGGGAAGGCGCAUUUGACUGCAGGCUGUGUUGCACGUCCAUGUGCUGGGAGGCUGGGCUGGAUGAGAGAGGGAAGGGCUACAGGCGGUGAGAGUCUGGGACAGACAGAAGCAACGGCAGACAGAUGAGAAAAGAGUGAGAACAGAGGGGCGGCUGGGGAUACAGCUCAGUGGCAGAAGUGCUUGCCUGGCAAGCGCAAGGUCGUGAGUUCGAUCCCCGGUACUGCAGAAAAAGAGAGGGAUGGGUAAGAGAGGUCUUUGGGAGGCAGGGUUUCAGGAUGGGUAAAUAAUUGCUUGUCAGGAUAAGGGGAGAAAGAGUCGGAGAUGGGAAGAUGUUGGCACAAAGAUAACUGGUGGAAGGCAGGGAAAGCGCAUUUGGUUUGGGGAGUGUUAAGUUCAAGGUGCUCUGGUGCAGGUGCUGAAAUGGGGCCUGGGGCUUGGGAGAGAACAUGGGCCGGGAAAGUCCUCUGCACAGAGGUGACCAUGGAACCAAAAGAGGCUGCUGAGGCAGAGGUGCAAGAGGACAAGGUGACAGGAGCCGAGAGUCUUCCAGAAGAUGAAAAGGCAACGAAUCGGAGAGUUAGUAGAACUAGACCAGGCCCAGGGACCAGGCCCAGGGACCCGGCAUCUGAGAGAGGAAACAUUUUAAGGGGGCAGAACCCAAAAAACAACCAUGACAAAAACCACUACUAACAAUUUCAGAUUGCAGAUGCCAAGGGGAAAUAAAAGCAGGUCAAGUCAGAAGGCACCACAGUGGGGCCAGUUUGGCCAUAGCACUGUGAAGAGCUGAGCUAGGUGAGGUUGUUCUCUUCCGAAAGGAUUGCAGUAAAUGGAAAGAGAAAGAAGACAGCGGGCAACUGAGCAAGCAGGAGGUGGGCGCCAGGGGAUGGGUGUGACCCCUUUAGAAAGUUCUCUGUCCUGGCUGUUGGACCCACUCUGUCCUGGCUUUGAUCAUAAUUUACCUUCACAGCAAUGCUCAGAAAACAAUGAGGUCGGUACUACAGUAAUUCUCAGUGCAGAGGUGAUGAAACGGAGGGUAGGGAACGUCAGUAAUGGGACCCAGGCUAUGCAGCUAAGUCUGAGUCUAUCCAAAGCUUUGCUACGUGGUCCUGAAAUCCCAGCCCCACAGUUUUUUACAUUGUUGGGGACAAAUAAACUUUAUGU
Molecule: long non-coding RNA, 2287 nt
Organism: Chinchilla lanigera (long-tailed chinchilla)
Lineage: Eukaryota; Metazoa; Chordata; Mammalia; Rodentia; Chinchillidae
Exons: 3
Source: RefSeq, a predicted model, not a curated record